AAUGGGGGAAACCCUGACGCAGCGACGCCGCGUGAGUGAGGAAGGCCUUCGGGUCGUAAAGCUCUGUCAAAGGGAAAGAAGUGCAUGAUGGCUAAUACCUGUCAUGUUUGACGGUACCCUUAAAGGAAGCACCGGCUAACUCCGUGCCAGCAGCCGCGGUAAUACGGAGGGUGCAAGCGUUGUUCGGAAUCACUGGGCGUAAAGGGCGCGUAGGCGGUUUGAUAAGUCAGAUGUGAAAGCCCACGGCUUAACUGUGGAAGUGCAUUUGAAACUGUCAGACUUGAGUAUCAGAGGGGAAAGUGGAAUUCCCGGUGUAGAGGUGAAAUUCGUAGAUAUCGGGAGGAAUACCGGUGGCGAAGGCGACUUUCUGGCUGAAUACUGACGCUGAGGCGCGAAAGCGUGGGGAGCAAA
This 411-nucleotide ribosomal RNA is filed under the name uncultured bacterium. RNAcentral's name for it is "bacterial SSU rRNA". It matches the Rfam family "Bacterial small subunit ribosomal RNA", at positions 370 to 772 of the family's 1533-position model. The record is from RNAcentral.